RNAcentral lists this ribosomal RNA (253 nucleotides) under uncultured bacterium. RNAcentral's name for it is "partial 16S ribosomal RNA". It matches the Rfam family "Bacterial small subunit ribosomal RNA", at positions 524 to 776 of the family's 1533-position model. The record is from RNAcentral.
UACGUAGGGGGCAAGCGUUAUCCGGAUUUACUGGGUGUAAAGGGGGCGCAGACGGCCAGACAAGUCUGAAGUGAAAAUCCAGCGCUUAACGUUGGAAGUGCUUUGGAAACUGCCGGGCUAGAGUGCAGGAGGGGCAGGCGGAAUUCCUAGUGUAGCGGUGAAAUGCGUAGAUAUUAGGAGGAACACCAGUGGCGAAGGCGGCCUGCUGGACUGCAACUGACGUUGAGGCUCGAAGGCGUGGGGAGCAAACAGG